This is a long non-coding RNA of Cryptomeria japonica (Japanese cedar), 1388 nucleotides long. RefSeq lists it as uncharacterized. Lineage: Eukaryota; Viridiplantae; Streptophyta; Pinopsida; Cupressales; Cupressaceae. The transcript has 2 exons. The record is from RefSeq and is a predicted model, not a curated record.
UGAGAGAUAGCCAUGAUUGAACAUUGCCCAAAAAUCCCUACGAACUGCAAUGCACUCAUAGUGGUUAAAGAAGAUGUUAAUAUAGAGAGAUGAAUAUUUUCGUGGAACUUCAGAAAACGAAGGCAAAGUUGAAAAGUAAUGUAGUGUCAAGUGGGAAUGGAAUUUGUACUCGAAGUGCGGAUUCAAUCUAUUUUGAGUCGAUUUCCAAACGUUGAGAGGAGCGUGCCCUAACGGCACUCAAAGUGCAGAUUCAAUCCAUUUGUUUUUAUGAAUAACUGUCCAGAUUCAAUUAAGAACGUGACCUAACGGCACUCAAAUUACAUCGGAAUGGCCGUUGGAAAAGCAGGAUUUCACUUCUUUUAAAUGGGAGAUUUACUAGAGAAACAGGGCAGAUUGUAGUGUUCAUUCAUUUAUUUUUCUGUUUUCUUUUUGAUUUUGUUUUUUCGGCGUGGCCAUGCCUCAACUUAGAUGUUUUCAUUUGCGUUUGAAUUGCAGUUUUUUAUUUAUUUUGAGUAUCUUCUUUUUCCCUGUGGAUUGUCAUUUUUUAAUGGGCAUGGAGGUAGGCAGCAGCAAGAACUCUACGUUCUGGAGUGGCUGAUUGGAGAUAUGGCCAGAAAAUGAUUUUUGGUGGCAUCCAUAAAGGGGUGAGAUGGAGUGGGUCCCUGAUCACAAAGAGUAGCAGUCUCAUCUCCCAGUGUGUUUUCAUCAAGAGACAUUGGCUAAACGGGCUAAAUUAAUGCUGCUCUGGAAGCUUUUCUCAACCGCCGGCUCUGAAUGAUACUCACGUGCUAAUUGAGUAUUCUUUGAUCAUUAAGUUUUUUCUUGCGCUUAAGACUCUUACUGCUAAUUGAGUAUUCUUUGAUCAUUAAGUUUUUUCUUGUGCUUAAGACUCCUACUGCUAAUUGAGUAUUCUUUGUUUAGAUUAUUGGAUACGGUUGGAGACUCACAACCUUUCAAAUACUUAACCUCACUGGCAGAUAUGGGUGCUAAAAAAAAAGGUGGUACAUAGUGGAGGUGGACUAUAUUUUGUUGAGCAGCAAGGAUCACACUGAAAUAAUCAACGCAAUAUCACUUUGGUGCAUAAGCUAGGACGACAUCACAGGGAUGUAAGUUUGUUAGGAAAAUGAAAGGAAAGAUGCUUAUAAAGCAUCCUCUGCAACUUUGCGUGUGCCACGAGGCAAGACCAUUGUGGUCAUCAAUCUAAAUUUCCAGGGACCGAGUGACCUAGGUUUCGAUUUCUAGGCCUAAAAUUUAAACGUAACCGUAAAGGAUUCAAAAACACUGAAAAUAAUACUGGGAGUUCAUUUUGUCAAAAUAAAAAUAAAAAUUGUGUAGUUCUAUGCUAAUAAAAUCUGUAAUAAGAAUAGUAAUCCUCCAAGUUUUACAUA